Non-coding RNA from Onthophagus taurus, 517 nucleotides. NCBI's taxonomy places the organism in Eukaryota, Metazoa, Arthropoda, Insecta, Coleoptera, Scarabaeidae. The record is from RefSeq and is a predicted model, not a curated record.
UCGUUUUCAUCAGAUCUUAACGGAAAUUACGAAGGCGCGAUUAAAAAAAAAAUACCCAACCCCUUUUUCACGGUCGUAAUCGAAAACUUAAAUAAAAACAAAAUCUGGUGGUGAUCGGUAUCACCUUCGCGGUUCAAACCUUUAACUUACUUCCUCUCGUGAUCCCGCUUACAUUUUCUACUUCUCUUUUAUAUAGCAGCAUCAAGACACCAGUUGCUGCCCGCUUUACGACGGAAAAUAAAUCUUCCACUGUGUCACACCGAAAUGGAUGCGAAAUAAAUAUGGAUGAGAGAGAUCUGUUUUAAUUUUCUCUUUUUGGUUUUGGAAUUUUUUUUUUGGAUUUAAGAAGGGCAGGAGAAGAAAUUUGCGAAAAUGUUGCCGACAAAUGUGAUGUCUUUUAUGAAAAAGAUUGUUGCGACUGAUUCGACACCGGCACAAACGACCACAGAAUGUCCCGCCGAUACAACAUUUGGAAAAUUAAAGCAAACGUUAUCGUCAUCUUUAUUAACAGCUCAGG